This is a long non-coding RNA of Bombus terrestris (buff-tailed bumblebee), 2359 nucleotides long. RefSeq lists it as uncharacterized. The record is from RefSeq and is a predicted model, not a curated record. NCBI's taxonomy places the organism in Eukaryota, Metazoa, Arthropoda, Insecta, Hymenoptera, Apidae. The transcript is spliced from 7 exons.
UGUAUUUCUAACACUUAUUAUACUGAAGAGUUACACCGUUACAGAUGAUAUAAAUGUCGUAGACGAUGCUUUGCUAUGACAUGCUAUGACACUCCGAUAGAUGAGCACUGAAUGUUCUUUCGUAAUAGAGCAAGGCCCUCGUGACGUAGCAGAAAUAGCAAUUGAACAGACUAAGUAUAGAUAUGUAGUGACUGCUCUAUAGUGAUGAGAACAAGUGAAGUUCGUUCUUGUGAGAUUACGGAGGAAAGCCCAUUGGUUAUAGCUAACGUUAAUAAAUGAAAAUCGGAGGAGGAAGCCUCCUACCGACGUGGCUCGGGGGUGACCUUGUUCAAGGGAAAAACUGGCUUUUCUGUUAGACAAAUAUCCACGUUUUCCACGUUGUAAGAACGUGCAAUAAACCUAAGGACUGUCUAAUGGUGUUGGGCCUUGACGGAUCGCUUAACUUUCCGUACCGGCUUGUGUGACCCCCCACCGCUUUGGAAGUUGCGCAGCGAGACUAAGGUGCGAGGAGUCAUUCUGUUGUCUUAUUUCGUGCCGGCAACGUGGUUCGUGUUGAGUCAGGUGACUACACAAACCGGACUCCAUUCCUUGGGCAAGAUGGCUGUCAGAUGUUUACACAUCACUAUUGCGGACCUUGAAGAGUCUCCAUGACUUACCAUAAAUAUUAGCAAUUUCGUAGUUAAUUUCCUUCAGACUAAACAGACAAUGACCGUUACCCUCACCUUCCUAGUCAAAAUUGCCAUCAACGAAUCCGAUGGUACUGUGCGCUAGACACACCCAUCAAUAGUUUUCCUCUGCGACAGCAUCGUCACCGAACUUUAGGUUCUUCAUCCUUGGAUCAGUCACCAUCUCUUGAUUGGUUUUCCGUCCAUUGACCAGUCAUCAAUUCAACUUGUUACUACAAAGUUGUUAGAAUAAAGUGUAUAUUAUAACCUGUUACUUCAGUUCAACCAUCUCUAUUAUUCUAACUGAAAUAGGAGAUCGACCAAUUCGUGGCAUCGAUUAUGAAAUCGUAACGGGAAUUUACGGCUCUCGUUGGCGGGCUUCUUGGCAAUCGCGUCUUCCCGCGAACGGUCGAACAAGCUAGUGCAUUUCUCAAGAAGAUAAAGUCUCUGUAGGAUCUCAGGAAUGCAUAUCACUGCUUCAGCUUCUUCAUCUUCCUUGGGAAUGUUCUAACAGUGGCUCAAAAGCCAAGAAUAUUUUGCACAAUCCCUAUUUCUAUCAUUGGAUUUUCAACGGUUCCUGUUUGAUGUUAGUCUUCCUGGUGACAUUGGCUGGGAUAGCGCGGCGAUUUGAUGGCAUAAUGCUUCUGAUCCUCUGCUUCUAACGUGACUCUCUACACAAACCAGGCCCAUGCCGUGGGCAAGAUGGCAACCAGAUGUCCAUACACUUUUACUGUGUACCCUCAAUAAUCUUAUGGACUUACCAUAAAUCUUGGCAUUUUCAUAGUUAGUAUGAAAAAUUCCAUAGUAGUGGAGAAAUUGGAUGCCCUCCGAUCUCGUUGCUAUGAAAGAUGCAAUUGUCACUCACUGAUAAUGACACAUACAAUAUACGAUACAAUAGAUAAUCUUCAAUUUAAUCUUCUAUUUUAUGACAACAUUAAGUCACAUUCAUUAAUUUGACUUCAGAUAUUAUAAACUUCAAUAGAAUUUAAAAUAUGAAUCAAAAUUCAUUUUUUUUCGUACAAGAAUGUGUGAAAUUUUAUAUGCAAGAAGAAACUUCGUGUCAGGUAGAUUUUCUAAUCAAAGAUAAUUUUGAACACUGCUUCUGCAUUUUCGAAAAUGUGCUUCUACGAAGAGAUUGUCUGAGAUUAUUUCUGUCUUGGCAAUACAUUUAGAGUCAAUUAUUCCGUUUCAUCGAGUCUUGGUCUUUUUUCAAUCCAUGUUACUUUUUUCGUAAUAUUAAAAUUUCAGUAAUUUAUUAAAUGAAUAAAGUAGAGUUGUUAUAGUUUUAAACGAAGUAAUAAGAUAUACAAUAAAAAAUAUAUUAGUCCGUUAAGUAGAAAUUAGACAAACUAAUCUUCCUUUUAGAUCAGAAUUUUCAGAUUUAACCUUUUCCAUGCCCAUUGUCAGGAUCUUAUUCACGUGCCUAGGUGCUACUUGAAUGGGAGAAAGACAUUGGGCAUGAUGAUCAUAAUUAUUGCAAAAAUUUCUCAGCGAUUGACGAUGUGCUAGUAUACCGUGCACGACGUAUUUUCCACAUUGUGUGUGUGUGUGGUUAGGCUGUGGAAUUGCGUCGUUUUUCUCAUUCGCUACAACUUCAAAUAUUAAAUAUGUUGAGACAUAUAUCAAUUCAUUUUAUGUAUCAAUACAAUCACAAUUUGUGAUAAUAUCAUCCACACGAUUAAGUGUAAUCACUU